Molecule: RNA transcript, 4015 nt
Organism: Xyrauchen texanus (razorback sucker)
Lineage: Eukaryota; Metazoa; Chordata; Actinopteri; Cypriniformes; Catostomidae
Gene name: keratin, type II cytoskeletal 8
Exons: 13
Source: RefSeq, a predicted model, not a curated record
AGACCAUCACCUCUUUCCUCUCAUCCCUGUCUCCACACCUUUCCACCUCUGUCAUUUUGAUCAUGAGUAACGUGGGCUCUGGCUUCAGUAGCCGCUCAUUGGGGUCUUACACCCGUGUUGGAUCAUCUAUACCCCGUCAGGGCAACUCUUACUUCGGGUUUGGGGACAUGCCAACAAUCGGGGUGCCCAUCAAGGCUGUGUCUGUUAACAGAAGCCUUCUAGAGCCAAUUGAUCUUCAUCUGGAUCCAAACCUACAGGCUGUGAGAACCCAGGAAAAAGAGCAAAUCAAAUCUCUCAACAAUCGCUUUGCCUCCAUCAUCAACCAGGUUCGAAUACUGGAGCAAGACAAUAAGAUGUUGGAGACUAAAUGGCAGCUGCUGCAGACUGAGUCUAAGUCUGAGUCUAAACUCGAGCCCAUGCUGAAGACUUACAUCAGUUCCCUUCAGGCACAGCUGGAUCGGAUACAGAAAGACAAAGGCCAUCUGGACACUGAGCUCAAGAAUGCCUUCGCACAGGUUGAGCAACAAAAACAAAGGUAUGAAGAUGAAAUUAACAACAGAAACAAGGCAGAAAAUGAGUUUGUUUUUCUAAAGAAGGAUGUUGACUCAACUUACUUGGGUAAAAUUGCCUUGGAAGAUAAAAUUGCUGGAAUCCUGGAGGACCUGAAUUUCCUUAAGAGCUUCAACGAACAGGAGCUGCGUGAACUUCAGGCCGACAUGAAGAACAUGUCUGUUGUGGUGCAGAUGGACAAUAGUAGGCAACUGAACAUGGAGCAGAUUGUCACUGAUGUAAAGAACCAGUAUGAGGACAUUUCUGGACGCAGCCGACAGGAAGCCGAAACCUGGUACAAGAACAAGUUUGACUUGAUCUCAUCGCAGGCUGACCAGUGCAACUCUGAGCUGAACAAUAAUAAAAGCACAAUGGCUGAUUUGAAAAGGCAGAUAAUGCGGCUGCAAAAUGAGAUAGCCACAGCUAAAUCACAGCGUGUGGGUGUGGAGGGGGAAAUCGCAGAGGUGGAGCGUUGCGGUGAGGAGGCGGUGCUUGAUGCUAAAGAACGAAUCAAAUCCCUGGAGAACACGCUGCAGAAAGCCAAACAAGAUAUGGCCAAACAGAUUCGCAACUACCAGGAACUAAUGAAUGUCAAACUGGCACUGGAUAUUGAGAUAGCCACCUACAGGAAACUACUGGAAGGAGAAGAGAACAGGCUUGGGCUGGACUCCACUAUAAACCUCCAUCUAAUCCAUAAACAUCUGUGAUCAUCUGAUGCAAAGCCAUCUCAGUCUGGGCGCCAUCACUCACCUGGCAACAGCGCUGGCUGAGGGGCGAGAGACCACGCUGGAUUUGUCCUGGGCCAGACUGGAACAUGGAUCAGUCAAGAUCAUCUAUGAUGCACUCACAAACUCCAUGCUACUGCCACUAAUUCUGGAUUCUUGCUCUCUGACAGCUGCAUCCAUGUCUGCAUUAUCGUAAGAUGCAUUUUUGCCUGCGAGUUGACUGGCUCCUUCUGCUCCUCUCUGGCAGCUGCCCUCCAAUCAGAACACUACCAUCUGACUGAAAUGGACCAUCUGUCUGUUAAUGAGCUCGCCAAUCAGGAGCAAUGCUAAUAUGUGAUGCCCUGAAAGCUCCUAAUUGUACACUGGAAAAAUUGGGUCUCACAGUAGAACUGAACAAAGUGGGUGAUACUGGAUCCAAACACGUGUUGGGGGCACUGAGACACAAAAACUGCAAACUACAGCACCUGGAAAGAAAGAAUGUCAUAUGCAAAUGGAACAACACGAGGAUGAGUAAAUUAUUACAUAACUUUCAAUUUUGGGUGAACUGUCCUUUUAAACUGCACCCGAUGAUGUGCCUUAUACCUGUGUUUUCUUGUUUUUGCAGUCUGGAGGUGAUGUCACUGACUCAUGUGUUGUUGCCAGCAGCAAUUUAUUGACACUCAGCCUUAAGAUCAAUGGCCUGACGGACUCAUCUUUACCACAGUUGGUCAUAUUCAUGCAGGACCAUCCAAUCAUGAGCUUAUAAAGUAAGUUCAGUCCACUCAUGUAAAUAUGCUCUCGUCACACUUCAAUAUGAUGUACUAUCCAUAAUAACAUAUUAUAGAGUUAUUUUUGUCAUAUUGUUUCCAGUCUGCAGUAUGACUUCAGUGAGGAUUUUUCUGAAUUGAUGGAAAUCUGCCAAAAAAUCCAUUACUAGAGAAACAAACCCAAAAAGUUGGGAACACCUGGAUAUUUAUUCUGCUAAGUAGUACUGGAACCUUUGUGAGAAACCUUACUUGGUUAAGCAUUUGUAAAUGGCAUAAACUCUGAUACAUCGGAUGCAUUCAUAACCAAAUUUACUUAUCAUUACUAGCCAACUCUUUCUUUGCACCAAAGCUUCGCCCUCUUGUGGCCUUUUUACAGAUUUGUGUAUGACCAUUUUGACUCUUUUGCUUUGAUUUAUCAUUGGACUGGCAUUUUUAUGGUUCUUAUGUAUGCUGAAAAACCCUCAAAAUACAUUUAAUAAAAAAAUUGACAAAUGGAGCUUACAAAUACAAUGAUAUAUUUCACAGUACAUGUUGAGAACAUUAUUCUGAGGACUUUUCCACUCUCUGCAUGGACGGUAACAGCUUAAGGAGACUGAGGCACAUAGAGAUGAAUGGUCAGUUUGAACAUUUUCAACAGAAUAGUGUAAAUAAACUGAUGCAUACAAAAUUUCAACUGAGAACCAAUGACAUAACCUCACAGUAUUGGUCAUUUUCAUCAGGGCCGGCCCAUGGGUUUGUGGGGCCCUAAGUGAAAUCAUGAAAAUAGGCUCCCCGUUGUGAAAAUUGUCAUAUCUCUAAAACAUCAUAGAACCACUGAAAACGUGAUUAGCAGAUUUUUCAAAUAGAAAGCACUAAAAAAGAAGCACUAUAUUGUAUUUCUCGGUAAUAACGUGUCCAAUAGCUUUUUUCCCAACAUGUUUGGUUAAAAUGUUCUUGCAUGAAUAAGGGAAUAUGCGUAUUUUACAAGUCACCAUUUUCCAGAUUAAUUGCUCAUAUGUUUACUCUAUUUGAGUUUUUGCAUCUUUAUAGCUGCAGUCCUUUAAUUCCUUCCCCAGCAGAUUAUACUUGAAAAAACGUUUCUUCUAUCCUUUACAUAAAAUAAGCCUCAAAGACUCAAAUAGCCACAAAGCAAUAUUUUUCAUAAAAUUUCCUGCGUUUAUGUCAGGUGUGUGCAUUAUUCAGCAAGGUGCGAUCUGUGUCUAAUAAUAAUGUAAAAAUAACCCAUGCUCAGUUCCCAGUAAUGCUUUGCGUUAUGAAUAAAUUAUGCAGAUAAGUGUGUACUGCUUAGCUUUACUUCUUGCCAAUUUUAGCUACACUGUUGUUAUUUUAUUUGUUGUAACUAUUAGUUAUUUGUCUUUUUGUGAUUUAUUCAGAGCUCAUUUUAUACUUAAUAUGUUGUUUUUCGUUUUUACCAUCAUUGUGAUUUGUAUUUUAAAAGAUCAGGUCCACACAUGUUGCAUCGCAUCCUGUGUGUGAGCGUGAUAGAAACUAUUGAACUUUCAAAAUAAAAGUCAUCAAUGUUAAUCUUAUUACUUGUUCAUUUACUUUGCAUGUGUUCGUGGAACCCCCCAAGACAUGUCGGGCCCCAAGACGGCCACCUAUAUCACCUCCUUUAGGAGGGGCCCGACCCUGAUUCUCAUUGUGACACACACACACAUGUUGGGUUUCAUGUUUUAUGGGGACUUUCCAUAGACAUAAUGGUUUUUAUACUGUACAAACUUUAUAUUCUAUCCCCUAACCCUAACCCUAAUCCUAACCCUCACAGAAAAAACUUUCUGUAUGUUUAUUACAUUUUCAAUAAACUAAAUUUAGUAUGAUUUGUAAGAGGUUUUCCUCAUGGGGACCGACAAAAUGUCCCAACAAUGUCCAAAAUAUUGGGUUUUACUAUCCAUAUGGGGCAUUUGGUCACCACACACACACACACACACACACACACACACACACACACACACACACACACACACACACACACACACACACACACACACACACACA